This is a small nucleolar RNA of Drosophila bipectinata, 74 nucleotides long. The record is from RefSeq and is a predicted model, not a curated record. NCBI's taxonomy places the organism in Eukaryota, Metazoa, Arthropoda, Insecta, Diptera, Drosophilidae.
AUUAUGUGAUGAACUAACUUAACCAUCUUUCGACUGAAAAAAGUGAUGCUUAAAAGUUUGUACUGAGUUUGAGC